RNAcentral lists this ribosomal RNA (241 nucleotides) under uncultured bacterium. RNAcentral's name for it is "partial 16S ribosomal RNA". It matches the Rfam family "Bacterial small subunit ribosomal RNA", at positions 335 to 594 of the family's 1533-position model. The record is from RNAcentral.
UGCCUACGGGGCGCAGCAGUGGGGGAUAUUGCACAAUGGGGGGAACCCUGAUGCAGCAACGCCGCGUGAGCGAUGAAGUAUUUUGGUAUGUAAAGCUCUAUCAGCAGGGAAGAAAAUGACGGUACCUCAUGAAUAAGCCACGGCUAACUACGUGCCAGCGGCCGCGGUAAUACGUAGGUGGCAAGCGUUAUCCGGAUUUACUGGGUGUAAAGGGCGUGUAGGCGGGACUGCAAGUCUGAUG